GUUUCGCGUCCACCAUUUUUUUUUUUGCAGCGCAGUUCGCAACACAAUCAUUUAUAUUAAUUUCGAUUUUUCGAAGGUUUAUUUGAAACGGACAUCGAUAACACGGAAUUCUCGACUUUAAUGGAGUUGUUUUGUGCCGACAGUUUCCCGAUGGAAGGAGCGGCAGUUGCAUCUAUCCGGUCCGUUAUGUACCGAACCGGAGGCCAGUUUAGAAAGCCAGUGUGGUAGUAGCGGAUUGUUAUUUAUAUAUUAUUCGCUCGGCUACGACAGCCAGGAGGCAAAUUUAGAAAACCAGGAGGCCAAUUUAAGUGAUACCGGUUGUGCAACAAGCAAGAUUCUACCCGGUGCGAAGAAAGUGAUUUGUUAUUGUGGCUGCAUCCACCAGUGACUUGCUCUGAUCGCCAAACAAAUCCAUUCUCCACAACUUCGUUAGAAAAUCACUUGAACUAUGGAGGUUGAAAACAUUACACCCCAGAAGAAUAGCCCCAGAAACUAAUUACCACCGUACGCUUACUACUCACCUAUACAUCUGCGGUUUAAGGAACCAACGGAACCCAUC
Armigeres subalbatus is the source of this 559-nucleotide long non-coding RNA. RefSeq lists it as uncharacterized. The record is from RefSeq and is a predicted model, not a curated record. NCBI's taxonomy places the organism in Eukaryota, Metazoa, Arthropoda, Insecta, Diptera, Culicidae. The transcript is spliced from 3 exons.